GGAGCUGUAGGUCAGUCGGUUAGUAUACCGGCCUGUCACGCCGGGGGUCGCGGGUUCGAGUCCCGUCCGCUCCGCCA
Molecule: transfer RNA, 77 nt
Filed under: Vibrio cholerae
Lineage: Bacteria; Pseudomonadati; Pseudomonadota; Gammaproteobacteria; Vibrionales; Vibrionaceae
Description: tRNA-Asp
Rfam family: tRNA
About the family: Transfer RNA (tRNA) molecules are approximately 80 nucleotides in length. Their secondary structure includes four short double-helical elements and three loops (D, anti-codon, and T loops).
Source: RNAcentral